GAUGAAGAACGCAGCGAAAUGCGAUAAUUAAUGCGAAUUGCAGAAUUCCAGUGAGUCAUCGAAUCUUUGAACGCACAUUGCGCCCUUUGGUAUUCCGAAGGGCAUGCCUGUUCGAGCGUCAUUAUCACCCCUCAAGCCCUCGGCUUGGUGUUGGACGGUUUGGUGGAGGCCCCCUCGGGGGCUCCUGCCCCUCCCAAAGACAAUGACGGCGGCCUCGUUGGACCCCCGGUACACUGAGUUCUUCACGGGACACGUAUCGGACACAUGGGUUUACGGGACACGGUCUGCCUCCCCUCAGGGAGAAUCUUUCUAAGGUUGACCUCGGAUCAGGUAGGGAUACCCGCUGAACUUAAGCAUAUCAAUAAGCGGAGGA
Molecule: unclassified non-coding RNA, 373 nt
Filed under: soil metagenome
Description: partial contains 5.8S ribosomal RNA, internal transcribed spacer 2, and large subunit ribosomal RNA
Rfam family: 5.8S ribosomal RNA (bases 1-121)
Source: RNAcentral